Molecule: ribosomal RNA, 483 nt
Filed under: uncultured bacterium
Lineage: Bacteria
Description: partial 16S ribosomal RNA
Rfam family: Bacterial small subunit ribosomal RNA
Source: RNAcentral
GACGAACGCUGGCGGCGUGCUUAACACAUGCAAGUCGAACGCUGAAGCUCAGCUUUUGUUGGGUGGAUGAGUGGCGAACGGGUGAGUAACACGUGAGUAACCUGCCCCCUUCUUUGGGAUAACGCCCGGAAACGGGUGCUAAUACUGGAUAUUCACUGGUCUUCGCAUGGGGGUUGGUGGAAAGGGUUUUUCUGGUGGGGGAUGGGCUCGCGGCCUAUCAGCUUGUUGGUGGGGUGAUGGCCUACCAAGGCUUUGACGGGUGGCCGGCCUGAGAGGGUGACCGGUCACAUUGGGACUGAGAUACGGCCCAGACUCCUACGGGAGGCAGCAGUGGGGAAUAUUGCACAAUGGGCGCAAGCCUGAUGCAGCGACGCCGCGUGAGGGAUGGAGGCCUUCGGGUUGUGAACCUCUUUCGCUCAUGGUCAAGCCGCAACAAUGGUUGUGGUGAGGGUAGUGGGUAAAGAAGCGCCGGCUAACUACGUG